UACGAGGGAUGCAAGCGUUAUCCGGAAUUAUUGGGCGUAAAGCGUUCGUAGGUGGCUAUGUAAGUCUGUCGUUAAAACGUGGAGCUCAACUCCAUACCGGCGAUGGAAACUGUAUGGCUGGAGUGUGGUAGGGGUAAGAGGAAUUCCCAGUGUAGCGGUGAAAUGCGUAGAUAUUGGGAAGAACACCAGCGGCGAAAGCGUCUUACUGGGCCACAACUGACACUGAGGGACGAAAGCUAGGGGAGCGAAAGGG
Molecule: ribosomal RNA, 253 nt
Filed under: uncultured bacterium
Lineage: Bacteria
Description: partial 16S ribosomal RNA
Rfam family: Bacterial small subunit ribosomal RNA
Source: RNAcentral